ACACGCACGCACACUCUGGACGCGCGCUGGCUGACUGGGCGUCGGCGUCGCCACCAACCGCCGCUAUAAUAAACACACGCACGGCAGGCAGGCAGGCAGGCUCCAUCAGUACAGAUCCACCGCCACCACCACCACCAAGCACUCCAGUCCCGCAGCAGCAUGGCCGGCAGCGCGUCCCGCCUCGCCAUCCUCUUGGUGCUCCUGGCGGCGUCACCGCUGCUUGGCGCGACGCAGAAGGCCGCGCCAGGGCCGGCGUCGUCGUCGGGCUCGGGCGCGGGCGCGGCGGACGCGGCGCCGCCGACGGACGUGAACAAGGCGCUGAAGGACGAGCAGUUCAGCGAGUUCCGGCAGCUGCUGCACGACACGCGCGUGGACACGCAGAUCAACGCGCAGCUGACGGACAGCUACAACGGGCUGACCAUCAUGGCGCCCACCAACGCCGCCUUCGACAAGAUGAAGGCGGGCGUGCUGAACGGGCUGUCGCCGCAGGAGCAGAUCCAGAUGGUGCUCUACUGCGUGCUGCCCCGGUUCUACAGCCUGUCCAUGCUCGGCACCCUCAGCGGCAAGGUCAACACGCAGGGGUCCGGCCACGACGGGCCCUACAGGUACGACAUCAAGCGGUCGGGGAACAACGUCAACGUGUCCACGGGGGUGAACUGGAUGCUGCUGGGCAGCCCCGUCAGCAAGGACUUCCCGCUCGCCAUCUACCCCGUCGACAAGGUGCCGCUCCCCUACGAGCUGUUCGGGCCCAAGCCGCCCACGCCGGCGCCCGCGCCGGCACCCGCGCCCGGGCCGGCCAAGGCCAAGACCAAGAAGAAGAAGAAGUCCGCCGCCAUCGCCGAGCCGCCCACGGCCGACGACGACGACACCGGCUCCACCUCCGACGACCAGAAGGCUGCCGCCGCGCCGCCACGCGCCAGCAGGGCGGCCGCCGCGCUCUCCGUGCUCGGCGCCGCUGUUCUCGUCGGCGGCCUCUUCUGAUGGGAAGAGGAUCGGAUCGGAGGAGGAUAGAAUGAAUGCACCGUCAUUCAGACCAAGAUCACACGGCGUGUGUGCGUUUGGCCAUCGGCUUUAUUCUUUCUUCUCUCUUCUCUUGGGGGAUUUUCUCUCUCUCUCUCUCUCUCGGUGAUUUGUAUUUGUAACUUAAUGUGAUAUACAUUAGCAGUGGUUGUUCUUCUUUCAUUUGAUCUUGGCCUCCGUGAUCUCAUCUGCUUCUGUUUGGACGAAGCGUAGCUGGUUGCUGUCGCUUGUGUUUUAAGCAUUUUCUUUGCAGUGGAAAGGAAACAGGGAAGCGCAGACAGUGUCC
This 1306-nucleotide unclassified non-coding RNA is filed under the name Zea mays. Its description in RNAcentral is "misc RNA Zm00001eb295850". Lineage: Eukaryota; Viridiplantae; Streptophyta; Magnoliopsida; Poales; Poaceae. The record is from RNAcentral.